AGCGAACGCUGGCGGCAGGCCUAACACAUGCAAGUCGAACGGCAGCACCGUAAGUGCUUGCGCUUACGGGUGGCGAGUGGCGGAAGGGUCAGGAAUACAUCGGAACCUACUUUUUCGGGGGGGAUAACGUAGGGAAACUUACGCUAAUACCGCAUACGACCUACGGGUGAAGGCAGGGGAUCUUUUGACCUUGUGGGAUUGAAUGAGCCGAUGUCGGAUUAGCUAGUUGGCGGGGUAAAGGCCAAGCAAGGCGACGAUCGGUAGCUGGACUGAGAGGAUGGUCGCCCACCCGGGAGGGGAGACAGGGACCAGACUCCUGCGGUAGGGAGCAGUCGGGAAUCUUAGGCAAUGGGGGCGAGCCUGAUACAGCGAGACGGCGUCUGUGGAGAAGACGCUCGGUUUGGGAAGCCCUUUUGUUGGGAGAGAAACGCAGCCGCUUGAUACGACGCGGUACUGACGGUACCGGGAGAAUAAGCACCGGCUAACUACGUG
RNAcentral lists this ribosomal RNA (492 nucleotides) under uncultured bacterium. RNAcentral describes it as "partial 16S ribosomal RNA". It matches the Rfam family "Bacterial small subunit ribosomal RNA", at positions 30 to 507 of the family's 1533-position model. The record is from RNAcentral.